RNAcentral lists this ribosomal RNA (442 nucleotides) under uncultured bacterium. RNAcentral describes it as "partial 16S ribosomal RNA". It matches the Rfam family "Bacterial small subunit ribosomal RNA", at positions 338 to 795 of the family's 1533-position model. The record is from RNAcentral.
CCUACGGGAGGCAGCAGUGGGGAAUAUUGGGCAAUGGACGCAAGUCUGACCCAGCAACGCCGCGUGAAGGAAGAAGGCUUUCGGGUUGUAAACUUCUUUUAAGGGGGAAGUGCAGAAGACGGUACCUCUUGAAUAAGCCACGGCUAACUACGUGCGAGCAGCCGCGGUAAUACGUAGGUGGCAAGCAUUGUCCGGAUUUACUGGGUGGAAAGGGCGUGUAGGCGGGACUACAAGUCAGAUGUGAAAUCCUGCGGCUUAACCGCAGAACUGCAUUUGAAACUGUUGAUCUUGAGUACUGUAGAGGCAGGCGGAAUUCCUAGUGUAGCGGUGAAAUGCGUAGAUAUUAGGAGGAACACCAGUGGCGAAGGCGGUCUGCUGGACAGCAACUGACGGUGAGGCGCGAAAGCGUGGGGAGCAAACAGGAUUAGAUACCCCAGUAGUC